AUGAAAACGGCAGGAGCUCUCCCCGGAAACCUUUUCCGCAAACCCUCCGUCCCCGCAGCCAUGGAGGACACCACCACGCCGCCGCCGCCGCCGCCACAGCAGCAACAGCCGGAGCAGCAGGCGCCCGAGCUCGCCGGGGAGAAGCGCAAGAGGGAGGAGGAAUCUCCGGCUGCGGCCUCCGGAGAGAAUCCAGCCAUGGAGGACACACCGCAGCCGCCACCGCAGCAGCAGCAAGAGGCGACCGAGCCCGCCGGGGAGAAGCGCAAAAGGGAGGAGGAGUCGCCGGAGGCAGCCCCCGGAGACGCCGCACCAGCAUCAGCAGCAGCCGCCCCCGCCACGACCGGCGAGGGCGAGCGGCACCCGAUGUCGAAGACGAGCCUGUGCUCCUUCUUCCGGCGGCGGGGGGGCGGCCCGGACGGGUGCAACCACGGGGAGGGGUGCCGGUACGCGCACACGGAGGAGGAGCUGCGGCCGCGGCCCGACGGCAGUUGGGACCCCACCUCCGACCGGGCCAAGAAGCUGCGCAGGGUCUCCGAGGAGGAUGGGGAGGGGGCGGCCGGGGAGGAGAGGAGGGACCGCUGGGGGCAGGAGGAGGUCACCUUCGACGAGACCUCGCUCGACAAGUGCCUCGUCGGGCUCUCCCGGCACUGGCUCACCGACAGGCUCAAGGCCUUCCUCGACGAGCAGGGAAUCUCGUAUGCUGUAGCAAAGAAGAAGAAAGGAAUGACCGUUGGUUUUGUGACGUUUGAAACUGUUGAACAACUGAGAAAUGCCGUGGAGGUCCUUAAGGAGAAUCGAUCUGGUGGAAAGCAAAUAAAGAUAGCAGAUGCCAAUCGCAGGUCUCAUCAGAAGUUGCAUGCAGAAGGACCGGUAUCUAAUAAUGGAGCAGCAACAGAAAACAGUAGUGACGCUGCUGCUCCUGCUGACGGAGCAUCCGGACCUGAAGCAGCAGGAGCUAGUAAAAGAACUGUGCGUGACGCAGUUACGCCCCUUGCGCAUAUGGCAUACAGUGAUCAGCUAGAGCACAAAAAAAGUUCAGUUGCACAGUUACUUAAGAAACUUACUCGGAAUGCUAAGAAAGCUUGCCCAGCUGAUGUUACAUUACCAGAUUGGAUUUCCAACGCAAAGCAAAUUGGUGGUCUUUCUUGCAAGCUUGAAGGCAUUCUGGAGUCCCCAGUGAUUGAUGGGUAUCGUAAUAAGUGUGAGUUCUCUGUGGGACAUUCCUUGGCGGGUAAAAAGACGGUAGGGUUUAUGCUUGGGAAUUUCAGGGAAGGUGUGACUGCUGUUGAGGAACCUGUGGACUGCCCAAAUGUUUCCGCAAUGUCCUGUAAAUAUGCUAUGAUAUUCCAAGAUUUUCUGCAGUUAUCAUGCUUACCCGCGUGGAACAGAGUUGAUAAUUCUGGGUUUUGGCGCCAAUUCACAGUUCGAGAGGGAAGAAGCCCAGCUCAAGCUGUUGUUGCGGAAGAUACACAAACACAAAUAUCAGAAGUCAUGAUUAUUAUCCAGGUAUGCUCAACAGGUGUUGAUGAGGUACUGAUGAAAGAUGAGUUUGCCAAAUUGUCCAAGACACUGGUGCAGGGAGCUGCAACAUGCUCACCUCCAUUGCCUCUAACAACUAUAGUAGUUCAAGAUCACGUAGGAAUAUCAAAUGUAGCACCAGCUGACUGUCCACUGAUCCCACUAUUGGCUCCAGAAGUGGACCAAUCAGAAGAGGGAGCAGUGGAUAAAACAAGAAUCCAUGACCACAUUAGCAAUCUUCGGUUCUCUCUAUCACCAACAGCAUUUUUUCAGGUUAAUACUCUUGCUGCAGAAAGAUUGUACACCCUUGCUGGUGAUUGGGCCAAUCUCAAUUCGGACACAUUACUUUUUGAUGUAUGCUGUGGGACUGGAACAAUUGGCCUGACAUUAGCACACCGUGUUGGAAUGGUUGUUGGAAUUGAAAUGAAUGAAUCAGCGGUUGUGGAUGCUCAGAGAAAUGCUCUUAUUAAUGGUAUAAAAAAUUGCCGUUUUGUCUGCGGCAAGGCUGAAGAUGUGAUGGGGUCUCUUCUCACAGAGUAUCUUGGUUCGCCACAGCAGCACAUUGCAGCUUCUGAAAGUAAUUCAGAAGUUAAUGCUACGGGGAAAAAGGAGGAUAUAGUUGGUGGUGCAGAGAAUAAUGGUAAAAGUAUGGAGAGCUUAACAGAGAAAAAUGACAGUGGUGAGAUAAAUGAGGACUUGGAUGAUGGGGUUAGCAAAGAGUUGGAAGGUGGACAUGAGCAAUCCAAUGAGGCUGUUCGUAACCAAAAUAGUGAGGAAGCAUCGUCAUUGGUCAAUGAGGAGUCCAUUGAUGCAAAAGCAACUGACUGUUCCGAGCACCGCAAAACACGCGAGGAAGGUUCUUCGAUUUCUAAAAAUGAUGUGCUUGCAGCUACUGCAUGUCAGUUCAAGAACUUUGUUGCUAUUGUAGAUCCUCCACGUGCUGGGCUUCACCCUACUGUGAUCAAGGUAUUGAGGACUCAUCCACGCAUCCGUCGUCUAGUGUACAUUUCCUGUAAUCCAGACACUCUAGUUGCCAACGCGAUCGAGCUCUGCACCCCAUCAACCGAGCAUAGGGAAAAGAACAAGGGCCACCGCGGAUGGCGAAACAUGAGCAGCGCCGGCCUCGCGAGGCAGAGGACCAAGUCGAUGCCCAACUCGGAGCCCUUUGUCCCCAAGAGGGCCAUGGCCGUCGAUCUGUUUCCCCACACCUCGCACUGCGAGAUGGUCAUGCUCUUCGAGAGGUGA
RNAcentral lists this ribosomal RNA (2763 nucleotides) under Triticum aestivum (bread wheat). Its description in RNAcentral is "partial small subunit ribosomal RNA". Lineage: Eukaryota; Viridiplantae; Streptophyta; Magnoliopsida; Poales; Poaceae. The record is from RNAcentral.